Long non-coding RNA from Scatophagus argus, 1963 nucleotides. RefSeq lists it as uncharacterized. The transcript is spliced from 2 exons. The record is from RefSeq and is a predicted model, not a curated record. Lineage: Eukaryota; Metazoa; Chordata; Actinopteri; Scatophagidae.
UUCAUGUCCUGUUAAUGCAUGUCACUGACUUGACUUCUUUCCAGAGUGCUUUCUCAUACGUGCAGGUUCCCAUGGAUUGUGUUUGGACCUCCUACUGUGGUCCUGCUUGACGCCAACUACUGUUAUAAUCAUUACUGUCAUAUUUCUACAUCAUAAUUACUACUACUACUACUAUCAGUGUUAUUAUUGUUAAUAUUGAUUUUUGUCAUUUUUGAUUAGCAUUCGUCUCAAAACUGUUGAAUUUGUCAAUUUACUAGGGCAUGCUAAGUGGACUGCUUUUUUAGUUUUAUAUUUGUGCCGACUGGAACUUCCAUUUUCUGUUGUUUGAACCUUAGAGUUUCUUCAUUUUAUUGAUAUUCAGGAGCUCUCUAGAGCAGAGUUUAGAAGAUGAAGGUGAAUAGUUGGAAGUGUUUAGUAAGGGGGAGAAUCCUACGUGCUGACGGUCAGGCAGAGAAGCGAAAGGACAUUUUGUGAAUCUUGGGACUAAUGACUGAAUCCUUUUUUUCUUUUUACAAUUGUUGUAAACAUUUGGGAUUUUAUUGUGUUUAGCUGAAAACAUUUUCUGUUGAUAGAGAGAGAUGUGACAUGCACUUUACAUAUGAAAAAAGUCAUGAUCACACAUACAUAACUUAAUUGUGUGGUUAUGGUUAACAGCUCCAAGGAUGGAUGUGGAGCGGGUCACCUGUUAGCUUUGUAUCAUGGAAUGUGAAAAUGCUGAAUGGUCCAGUAAAAAGGAAUGGUAAAUAUUUACACAUCUUAAGAAUUUAAAAGCUGAUAUAGCAUUCCUCCAAGAGAGGCACCUUAGGAAUUCUGACCAACUGCAUUAAAAAAAACACAAUGGCAGGGGAACAGCAAUAAUAAUACAUAAAAAAAAUCUGUUCACUUCUUUGGAUGUUAUAUCUGAUUCACAAAGACGCUGUUUGAAUCAGAUUGUUGUCUCUGGGCAACUUUUCUAUACAUCUGUUUUAGUGAAUCUGUAUGUCUUUAACUGGGAUGAUGUAGAAUUUGUACAGAGACUUGUCUGUAAGUUACCUGAUCUAAAUUCUCGUGAUUUUGGGGGAGACUUUAAUUGUGUUAUGGACCCAAAAAUGGGCCAGUAAAUUUUCAGAACUUAUCAGUCAUAUAGUGUGUGUGGGUCCCUCAUAGUAAAGCAUUCUCUUUUUUUCUAAUGUGCACCAUUCAUAUUCAAGAAUUCAUUACUCUUUUUUUGCUAAAAAACUUCUGAGCUCCCUGGAAAAAGUUGAAUACUCUGCCACUCUACCAAACUCCCAUACUUCUGGAGCUUUCUUUCUUCUCAUAGUUACACCUGUUGUGCAAAAUGGUGCUUUAAUGCUGCAUUACUGACUACCUAAUAGGUCUGAUUCUGCUUAUCUGUCAUUGCUCUGUGAAAUUCUUACAGUAGUACUUAGAGGAGAAAUAAUCAUAUACUCAUCUUAUCUUAACAGAGAAAGAAAGAGGGAAAAAACAGCAGUUAAGUGAUUCAGUAUUUGAUUUGGAUUGCAAAUACUUCAUAUCUUCAAAUUGCUUCACACAUGUACCCUCCCCCCUCUAGACAUAUACACACACCUUCUCACACACACACACAUUCCUGUGGCACAAGGAAUGUGGCCGCCAUCUUGAACCAGUUAUUCUACCGUAAACUACCAAAGCAGGAAGAUGCUUGAGCACUGUGCGGCGUAUUGCUGUACAAAUCGGCAGACUAUUGAAAACGGGGCUCAAGGGAUUACUUUUAACAAGAUCAUAGCUAUGCCUUGCCUGCUACUCCUACUCCUACGGACUCAAUGAAGUCCUAGCAAGAGUGGAAAGUCUGGAACGAGAGAAGAAGAACGCCAUGGCAAGAGAAAAGAGAGCAAGGACCACAAUAAAGAGUCUUUUGGGGGAUUUGAGGGAAAAUUUAAAAAAAUGUAAAAAACUUUCAUGAUUAAAAAAAAAUUAAAAAUUAAAACUUUCAUUAGCGACUUCA